CAGGAAGCUGUUCCACCUGCCAGCACCUCGAGCUUGGACUUCCAGCCUCCACGGCGAGAGAGAAGCUCCCCAGGACCUAUAAUGUCCAUUACUUAUUCAAAAGAAAUGACCACAAAUGAACGAUCACAGCCCCAAAUGAAUAAAACAGACCAGCACAGAAUCCCAAGGCUUUCUUCUUUGUCUUAUUUUGUCCGAGACCAAAAAACUUCUGUCCAGUCCGGGCCCCGAGGAGCAGGUAGGCGUUCAGAGCCACUGGGCCAAGGAAGAAAACCCAAACUCUAGCGUAACUCACAAGACCACAGUCUUUGUGGGCAGGGACGGAGAACAGGACAAGGUAACAAGGGAUCUGGGCAAGAGAAGGAGGAAUUCGUACAAAAAGAAACACCACAGUGGCUCCUUAGAACAGCGUGUUGGAGGAAUCAGAGAAGACAGCCCAGAAGGGAGCCAACAAGGCGUUUGCCCAGUUCAGGGAAGGAAAAGAUAAACAGAUGAAAGCUGAUAAGAGGACGUUGGUGGAAAUGAGUGACGGUAUCUUAGUAACUCGCGGAAGGAUGGCGGCCAACAAAAUCAGAUCUGUCAGAAAUUAGUGGCGAAAGAGAAAUCUCAUAAUGUUUGAAAAUAGAGAUAAUGUUCUAAAAUCACAGUUGACCUACAGAAACCGGGAGCGGGCAGCGGAGAGUGGAAAAUUAUUUAACAUUAUUCGUCUCAUUUUACAUAAAUGCCAUUUCAUUCCUGACCUUGAUAAUCACAGAGACUUGACUAUCCUUUAUUUAAAGGCUAGUGUUAGGGUAACUAAAACCUCUUCGUGAGAGAGAACAAGUGGGCAAGUGUCUCUCUGUAAAGGGUAUUGAAUAGCGGACACGGGGAAGACAACCAAACGACCUCAGACCCGACGAGAGGAAGAACGCAGAGCGGAUUUGCCGUGGGAAUGGACGCUGGCGUAGGGUCCAAGGACAGAGCACGGAAUCCAGCUGUACACCAUCUACAAGGGACACACCGAGAGCAACGUGACGGCCCCAGGGUGGAAACCCCCAUGUCCCUCGUUGGAGGAGGGGAGAAAGGGAAUGUGGUCCGGCCACGCGACGGCGUGAACUACUGAGCCACGCCGUAACGUGGAUGGACCUUGAGACCGUGAUGCCGGGUAGAAGAAGCCAGACCCAGAAGGACAAAGGUGGUAGGAUCCCACAGAUCCGGGCUGCCCAGAAUACGUAAACCCAGAGACAGAGAGGAGCCUGGAGAUGACAGAGGUUACCGGAGCCAGAGGAGGGAAGACAAGGAGGUAAAAAGCUUCUGUUCAGGAGGAUGAAGUUCCGGAGAUGGACGGUGGUCAUGGUGGGACGCACCCACGAAUAUACUAACCUCCACGCACGGUUAACCUGAGGCAUCCCAGAGGCUGUGUCCCUUUCCUGGGGUUGCCUUAACAAAGCAGCCCAACCCGGGGGCACAGCUGAAAACGACACAUGGAUCCUGGGGACCCGGGUCUAAAAUCGAGGUGUGAGCCUGCCUUUUCCAGCUCCGGAUGCUCCUGCAAUCCGUGGCACUCCGUGGCUGGCAGCCGCGUGGCCCGCCUCUCGGCUCCACGGUCUCACGAACCUCUCCCGGUGUCUUCAUACAAGGUCGCAGGGACACCAGCCCAGGGCCCACCUUACCAACCUCAUCUUAACUCAGUGAUGUCGACAAGGACUUGAACUUGUCUUUUGGGGGACACAGUUGAGUCUGUAACAGGUGCUUUCUGCAGAGUGGUUGGUCAAGGUCCCUCUUGGCUUUUAAAAGGGGAUAGGAGUCCACAUCUGUUUGGAGAACAGCCUUUGCUCUCCUCCCAGGCGAAACGCCCGUGGGCUGCUGCUUUUCCCUAUGGUGCUCUGUCAGUGUCUAGUGCCCGAAGGCAUAGAUCCCCGAAGCACACUUUGAGAACCGCUGAAAUCACCGCUAGGUAAUGAGCUUGCCCUCAGACCUGGUCUUCCAAAGCUCACUACGCCGCCGUCACUAAGGUAGCUCCAGCCAGAGUAUCCCCGGGGUCUCCAUCAAGCGCAGACUCCUGGCUCCAACCCCAGAGACUCUAACCCAGCUGGCCUUAGGGUGGGAGUUGGGGGGCAAGGGUGAUUCCUGACAUCAGGGCAAGUUUGAAAAUUUCCCCGGAUCAUAGCCAGUUGCAUGCUGGGCCCCGCCACCUGGAAGUCAUCCAGUCCUUCUGCUGGGUAUUUCCAAGCCAAGCUCAUAAUCUCGUGCCUUCAAACCUUGCACAUAUUCCUCUGCCUCUGGCCCCACAUUCACCCAGUUCUCAGGCCCCGUACUUUGGAGACUGGUCAGCCCUACCUGGUCAGUUGCCGGCACGUACCCAGACUCUCUCCCGAGCAUGUCUCUGGUCUGAUUCUCCUUGGUAUUCCUGUUUCUGUCACCUUGGCUUAGGCAUUUAUCAGUUUUUGCCAGGACCCGUGCAGUAGCCUACCAACUGACUUUCUUUCCUUCAGUCUGGCCCUUUCCAGUCUGUUCGCUCUAUUAUUGCUCUUCACCUCCUGCCCCAUUUCUCCAACUUUAUCAGCUACAGUGUCCCUCUGUGAGUCCAUUAUGCUCAGAAGA
This is a long non-coding RNA of Lutra lutra (Eurasian river otter), 2580 nucleotides long. RefSeq lists it as uncharacterized. Lineage: Eukaryota; Metazoa; Chordata; Mammalia; Carnivora; Mustelidae. The transcript is spliced from 3 exons. The record is from RefSeq and is a predicted model, not a curated record.